GGUUAAGCGACUAAGCGUACACGGUGGAUGCCCUGGCAGUCAGAGGCGAUGAAGGACGUGCUAAUCUGCGAUAAGCGUCGGUAAGGUGAUAUGAACCGUUAUAACCGGCGAUUUCCGAAUGGGGAAACCCAGUGUGAUUCGUCACACUAUCAUUAACUGAAUCCAUAGGUUAAUGAGGCGAACCGGGGGAACUGAAACAUCUAAGUACCCCGAGGAAAAGAAAUCAACCGAGAUUCCCCCAGUAGCGGCGAGCGAACGGGGAGCAGCCCAGAGCCUGAAUCAGUGUGUGUGUUAGUGGAAGCGUCUGGAAAGGCGCGCGAUACAGGGUGACAGCCCCGUACACAAAAAUGCACAUACUGUGAGCUCGAUGAGUAGGGCGGGACACGUGGUAUCCUGUCUGAAUAUGGGGGGACCAUCCUCCAAGGCUAAAUACUCCUGACUGACCGAUAGUGAACCAGUACCGUGAGGGAAAGGCGAAAAGAACCCCGGCGAGGGGAGUGAAAAAGAACCUGAAACCGUGUACGUACAAGCAGUGGGAGCCUCUUUAUGGGGUGACUGCGUACCUUUUGUAUAAUGGGUCAGCGACUUAUAUUCUGUAGCAAGGUUAACCGAAUAGGGGAGCCGAAGGGAAACCGAGUCUUAACUGGGCGUUAAGUUGCAGGGUAUAGACCCGAAACCCGGUGAUCUAGCCAUGGGCAGGUUGAAGGUUGGGUAACACUAACUGGAGGACCGAACCGACUAAUGUUGAAAAAUUAGCGGAUGACUUGUGGCUGGGGGUGAAAGGCCAAUCAAACCGGGAGAUAGCUGGUUCUCCCCGAAAGCUAUUUAGGUAGCGCCUCGUGAAUUCAUCUCCGGGGGUAGAGCACUGUUUCGGCAAGGGGGUCAUCCCGACUUACCAACCCGAUGCAAACUGCGAAUACCGGAGAAUGUUAUCACGGGAGACACACGGCGGGUGCUAACGUCCGUCGUGAAGAGGGAAACAACCCAGACCGCCAGCUAAGGUCCCAAAGUCAUGGUUAAGUGGGAAACGAUGUGGGAAGGCCCAGACAGCCAGGAUGUUGGCUUAGAAGCAGCCAUCAUUUAAAGAAAGCGUAAUAGCUCACUGGUCGAGUCGGCCUGCGCGGAAGAUGUAACGGGGCUAAACCAUGCACCGAAGCUGCGGCAGCGACGCUUAUGCGUUGUUGGGUAGGGGAGCGUUCUGUAAGCCUGCGAAGGUGUACUGUGAGGUAUGCUGGAGGUAUCAGAAGUGCGAAUGCUGACAUAAGUAACGAUAAAGCGGGUGAAAAGCCCGCUCGCCGGAAGACCAAGGGUUCCUGUCCAACGUUAAUCGGGGCAGGGUGAGUCGACCCCUAAGGCGAGGCCGAAAGGCGUAGUCGAUGGGAAACAGGUUAAUAUUCCUGUACUUGGUGUUACUGCGAAGGGGGGACGGAGAAGGCUAUGUUGGCCGGGCGACGGUUGUCCCGGUUUAAGCGUGUAGGCUGGUUUUCCAGGCAAAUCCGGAAAAUCAAGGCUGAGGCGUGAUGACGAGGCACUACGGUGCUGAAGCAACAAAUGCCCUGCUUCCAGGAAAAGCCUCUAAGCAUCAGGUAACAUCAAAUCGUACCCCAAACCGACACAGGUGGUCAGGUAGAGAAUACCAAGGCGCUUGAGAGAACUCGGGUGAAGGAACUAGGCAAAAUGGUGCCGUAACUUCGGGAGAAGGCACGCUGAUAUGUAGGUGAAGUCCCUCGCGGAUGGAGCUGAAAUCAGUCGAAGAUACCAGCUGGCUGCAACUGUUUAUUAAAAACACAGCACUGUGCAAACACGAAAGUGGACGUAUACGGUGUGACGCCUGCCCGGUGCCGGAAGGUUAAUUGAUGGGGUUAGCGGUAACGCGAAGCUCUUGAUCGAAGCCCCGGUAAACGGCGGCCGUAACUAUAACGGUCCUAAGGUAGCGAAAUUCCUUGUCGGGUAAGUUCCGACCUGCACGAAUGGCGUAAUGAUGGCCAGGCUGUCUCCACCCGAGACUCAGUGAAAUUGAACUCGCUGUGAAGAUGCAGUGUACCCGCGGCAAGACGGAAAGACCCCGUGAACCUUUACUAUAGCUUGACACUGAACAUUGAGCCUUGAUGUGUAGGAUAGGUGGGAGGCUUUGAAGUGUGGACGCCAGUCUGCAUGGAGCCGACCUUGAAAUACCACCCUUUAAUGUUUGAUGUUCUAACGUUGGCCCCUGAUCGGGGUUGCGGACAGUGUCUGGUGGGUAGUUUGACUGGGGCGGUCUCCUCCUAAAGAGUAACGGAGGAGCACGAAGGUUGGCUAAUCCUGGUCGGACAUCAGGAGGUUAGUGCAAUGGCAUAAGCCAGCUUGACUGCGAGCGUGACGGCGCGAGCAGGUGCGAAAGCAGGUCAUAGUGAUCCGGUGGUUCUGAAUGGAAGGGCCAUCGCUCAACGGAUAAAAGGUACUCCGGGGAUAACAGGCUGAUACCGCCCAAGAGUUCAUAUCGACGGCGGUGUUUGGCACCUCGAUGUCGGCUCAUCACAUCCUGGGGCUGAAGUAGGUCCCAAGGGUAUGGCUGUUCGCCAUUUAAAGUGGUACGCGAGCUGGGUUUAGAACGUCGUGAGACAGUUCGGUCCCUAUCUGCCGUGGGCGCUGGAGAACUGAGGGGGGCUGCUCCUAGUACGAGAGGACCGGAGUGGACGCAUCACUGGUGUUCGGGUUGUCAUGCCAAUGGCACUGCCCGGUAGCUAAAUGCGGAAGAGAUAAGUGCUGAAAGCAUCUAAGCACGAAACUUGCCCCGAGAUGAGUUCUCCCUGACUCCUUGAGAGUCCUGAAGGAACGUUGAAGACGACGACGUUGAUAGGCCGGGUGUGUAAGCGCAGCGAUGCGUUGAGCUAACCGGUACUAAUGAACCGUGAGGCUUAACCUU
This 2905-nucleotide ribosomal RNA is filed under the name Escherichia coli. RNAcentral describes it as "23S ribosomal RNA". It matches the Rfam family "Bacterial large subunit ribosomal RNA". Lineage: Bacteria; Pseudomonadati; Pseudomonadota; Gammaproteobacteria; Enterobacterales; Enterobacteriaceae. The record is from RNAcentral.